This 465-nucleotide ribosomal RNA is filed under the name uncultured bacterium. Its description in RNAcentral is "partial 16S ribosomal RNA". It matches the Rfam family "Bacterial small subunit ribosomal RNA", at positions 28 to 507 of the family's 1533-position model. The record is from RNAcentral.
GACGAACGCUGGCGGCGUGCUUAACACAUGCAAGUCGAACGGAAAGGCCCCUUUGGGGGUCCUCGAGUGGCGCACGGGUGAGUAACACGUGAGUAACCUGCCCUUGACUUCGGGAUAACUUCAGGAAACUGGGGCUAAUACCGGAUAGGAAUCCUUGCUGCAUGGUGGGGGUUGGAAAGCUUCGGCGGUGUUGGAUGGACUCGCGGCUUAUCAGCUUGUUGGUGGGGUAGUGGCUUACCAAGGCUUUGACGGGUAGCCGGCCUGAGAGGGCGACCGGCCACAUUGGGACUGAGAUACGGCCCAGACUCCGACGGGAGGCAGCAGUGGGGAAUAUUGCACAAUGGGCGGAAGCCUGAUGCAGCAACGCCGCGGGCGGGAUGACGGCCUUCGGGUUGUAAACCGCUUUCAGCAGGGGCGAAGCUUGUGGUGACGGUACCUGCAGAAGAAGCACCGGCUAACUACGUG